CAGCCGCCGCGGGAAUACGUAGGUGGCAAGCGUUGUCCGGAAUUAUUGGGCGUAAAGGGCUCGCAGGCGGUUUCUUAAGUCUGAUGUGAAAGCCCCCGGCUCAACCGGGGAGGGUCAUUGGAAACUGGGAAACUUGAGUGCAGAAGAGGAGAGUGGAAUUCCACGUGUAGCGGUGAAAUGCGUAGAGAUGUGGAGGAACACCAGUGGCGAAGGCGACUCUCUGGUCUGUAACUGACGCUGAGGAGCGAAAGCGUGGGGAGCGAACAGGAUUAGAUACCCCUGUAGUCCCGUCUCUUAUACA
Molecule: ribosomal RNA, 301 nt
Filed under: uncultured bacterium
Lineage: Bacteria
Description: partial 16S ribosomal RNA
Rfam family: Bacterial small subunit ribosomal RNA
Source: RNAcentral